UACAGAGGGUGCAAGCGUUGUUCGGAGUUACUGGGCGUAAAGAGUGCGUAGGCGGUUUUCUAAGUUUGGUGUGAAAUCUCCCGGCUUAACUGGGAGGGUGCGCCGAAAACUGGAAGGCUUGAGUAUGGGAGAGGUAAGCGGAAUUCCUGGUGUAGCGGUGAAAUGCGUAGAUAUCAGGAGGAACACCUGUGGUGUAGACGGCUUUCUGGACCAUAGCUGACGCUGAGACACGAAAGCGUGGGUAGCAAACAGG
This 253-nucleotide ribosomal RNA is filed under the name uncultured bacterium. RNAcentral describes it as "partial 16S ribosomal RNA". It matches the Rfam family "Bacterial small subunit ribosomal RNA", at positions 524 to 776 of the family's 1533-position model. The record is from RNAcentral.